CAGCUCCUGGCCACGGCUGAUUAGGCCAGAGGCGGUCACCUGAGCCAGGCUAUCUCCUCAUAGCCUGGCCCUGACCUCUGACUUGGGACCUGCCUAGAAAAGAUGAGCUAUGCCAAUUAGAUGCAAGGAAUUUGGAAUUGGGAUCUUGAGCAACCCAAUCAGGUAGCAGAGUGAGCCAAGCUGAAAGUUCCCAGGUAACCUCAGGACUCAUCUUUCUCAGAGGCCAAACUAUCCAGGCCCUGCUUACUUUCCCCUGCCUCUCCCUCAACUCCGGAUCCAGAAACCUCUGUGUGUGUGUGGAAGAGGGGAGGAAGAUGCUACACUUGCUCUCUGUCAUCCCACAUGCCCCCAAGCUACCAAACUGUUUAUCCACAUGAGUCAUUUCCGUUUCCCCUUGAGGCCUGGGUUUGGAAACUCAGAACCUAAGCACAGACUGCUGUCUCUCUCUUUAUGCUGAAUCAUCCCUUCCUUGAGACAACAGCUGAGCUGUCCUGCUGACUACUGAACGGAAGCGGCCAAGGUUGGGGAUGGAGAGGAGCCGUGGAAUAUGAAUUAACAUUCCCAUAUGUUAUCCUGUCACACGAGGUUACCCGUGGCCCAGGACCCCAAAUGCGGAAGCAUCAGGAAGGGAGAAAGCGCCUUUCUGCAGGGGAAGGUAAUAGGACACUUCGUUUGUGGUGGCCUUAUCAGCGUCCCCUGUCUGGAAAACAUCUCCUCAGCUUCCCACCUGCUCCGGCCAUGUGGUCCAACUUGGAGCCCAACUCUCACCUGAUCCCGCCCCACAGGUCACAGGGAUUGGUCCAGGGUUAGGCACGUGACCCAGUCAGACCAAUCAGAGCCCCUCUCUGGGCUUUUUAACUGGAGGAGGAGGGCGAUUCUUUCCUGGUUGAUCAUGAAAAUGUGAGGACAUGAGGCCAGUAAUCCUGCUUCAUAGAGACAAACAGCCUGCGACCAAGAAACAAAUACUAAGGGAGAGAGGAAGGGAGUGAAAACGGAGAGGGCGUGUAGGCAACCAGACCUACCACACGUGUCCAGACACGCCGCGGCUCUGAGCUCCACUGACUCGCACAGACUCGGGGGAUGAGGCCCGGCCAGAGACCUGCCCCUACCAUCAAGGGUUGCCAGCCUUCUGCAGGGCACCCACCAGGUCUGAUGUGCCCAGGGCUGGGGAAGACCCUCGCUCUGACCCUUUAAAUCCAGGGCUGCCGAGAAGCCUGUUCUGACGCCGAAGCAGCAACACUGACCAGCAGGACUUCCGCACAGGGCCUGGGCCUGCUCACCUGUGGGGAGGCGCUGGCCAAGGGCAUCCCUCGCCGCUCGCUCCUACCCCCGUGGGCCUCGAACGGCCCCUUCCCACUGAGUCAGAGGCCUAAAAUAAGAAGCGUGUUCCAAAAGAUGUGACUUUUGGGAAAACUUCAGCCAAAUCAAUUAAUGAUAAAACCCUUGAGCAAACACAGCUACUUUUAUCAUUUUAGAAUGUUGUGAUUGGAGCAGCAAACGAAAUUAAAUUAAAAACACAGAGACUUCUGGUCAGAACCCCAGCGCUCUUGUUGAUUUUUAAUCUCCUAUUAAACGAUAUAUCUUCUGA
Long non-coding RNA from Chlorocebus sabaeus (green monkey), 1588 nucleotides. RefSeq lists it as uncharacterized. NCBI's taxonomy places the organism in Eukaryota, Metazoa, Chordata, Mammalia, Primates, Cercopithecidae. The record is from RefSeq and is a predicted model, not a curated record.